Mustela erminea (ermine) is the source of this 1835-nucleotide long non-coding RNA. RefSeq lists it as uncharacterized. The transcript has 3 exons. The record is from RefSeq and is a predicted model, not a curated record. NCBI's taxonomy places the organism in Eukaryota, Metazoa, Chordata, Mammalia, Carnivora, Mustelidae.
UUAAAAAAAAAAAAAAGAACUAUUGUAUCUUGUGUUCAUCUUCCCCCAGAUCCUGAGAGAUGGAAACCAUUACCCUCAAUUGGUCAACAGAAAGGUGGGAAAUGGCUAUAUGAAGAGAUGAUCUCUGAGAACCUUUAAAGGACUAACAUGGCUUGACUGAGACUCGGAGGAACACUAGGUGAUGUGGGGAUUGGCUCCCGUGUGGCCAUACAACAAGAGCCAGAGUGUGGGAGUUACCUGCCUGCAGGGAGAACCUUGGACAGCGAGAAAUGGGAUGUAGGAGGGAGUUGAGCAAAUAAACUCACCCUUUGCUGUGGACUUCCCCGAGUCUUGCAUGUGGACAGGCACGCAGGUUGUUCUCCAGCUGAUGGCAAGUGUUGUCAUGUGUCAUGCAGCAGUGUGUCAUAUAUUUCCUUGCCUAGUUUUACCUUUUUCCUCACCUCACUGUCCAGACUGUGCACCUCUCAUACAAAUAUUAGGAACUGAAACCUUACUUCUGGCUCCACUUUCUAGAAGAUCUGGGCUCAGAAGGUGUUUCUUACAAAUCUGAAAUUCACUUUUAUUGCAAAGCUAAAUUUUGACUUUCAUCUCAUCAGAUAGGACAUCAUACAAAAAGCAACAUCAACUGACCUGUCUAGGACUUAACCACCUCUGUAAUAAACUAAUCACAUUUUCAUAUUAGACAUUAUACAUAAUAAUUUUGAGGUCAUGAAACUGGAGUGGCCUCUUUUUUUUCAUGCACAUUAUGAUAUUGUUAUAGGGGACACUAAUCUCAUGCAUUCCAGGGCACUGAUUAUUAUUGAAGAACAAGUUUGUGGAGGCUUUCUGUCACCUCUGGCAAUUUGUCUUACCCUAGUACAUUCUGACUCCUCCACAAAGGUGGGAAGAAAAAACAGGAGGGUAGUGUCCUGGGAGCUAAGGGAAGGAAGUGUUACUGGAAGGGGAAAAAACAACUCUACUGAAUACUGCUGAGGUUCUGUGAGAUGAAGACAGAAUUUUCCACAGCAUAGAGUAGCAGGGAGACAAGUGUCCUUUACAAGACUGUGUGGCAUGAGCAGGGCUAGAACCAGACUAGAUUUGCUCAGAGUAGUGAAUUGAAGGGGCCACAAUGGUGUAGGUAUAGAUACAAGACAUCAAAUGGUGGCUGGACAGAGAAUCAAAUGAGGGUUUCCACACUGAUGAAGAAUUAUCCAGGAGAGAGGAAAAGAUUGGUGAUUCAAGAGAGAGUAGAUAACAGAAAGCAGUCACAAGAGAAGACAAAGACAUGUGCACCAAACCACAGUUGAAGAGAUUGUCUUCUGGUACAUAUUAUCAUGAGAGCAACAUAUUAGUGUUCUAGGGCUGCCGUAACAAGGUGCCAUGGACUAGGUGGUUUAAAUAACAGAAACACAUUUUCUUAGUUCCAGAGACUGGAAGUUGAGAUCAAGUUGUCAAUAGGGUUGGUUCCUUCUGAGGGUUGUGAGAGAUGGACCUCUUUCCUUUGCCUGUACAUCUGUCUUUUCUUUGGGUGUUCAGGUGGUCUUACUCUGUGCAUGCAUGUCUCUGGGACACCAGUCAUAUUGGGUUAGGGGCCAGUGUAAUGUAAUCAUUUUAAAUUAAUUAUCUCCAUAAAGACCCUGUGUUCAAAUGUAGUUACUGUCUAAGUCCAUUCAAGCUGCUGUAAGAAAAAUACAAUAGAUCCUACUUAUAUAUGGAAUCUUAAAAACAACAAAGAAACACACAGAAAACAAAAAAAACAAAACCCAACCCAAACAAAAAACUGAACUUGUAGAUAUAGAGAACAACUUGGCAUUUGCUGGAGGCUGAGAUUGGUGGGGGUGGGGGGGAUGAGGACA